This is a long non-coding RNA of Mus musculus (house mouse), 5516 nucleotides long. RefSeq annotates it as predicted gene, 41977. The record is from RefSeq and is a predicted model, not a curated record. The transcript has 3 exons. Lineage: Eukaryota; Metazoa; Chordata; Mammalia; Rodentia; Muridae.
CUUCCUUCCUUCCUUCCUUCCUUCCUUCCUUUCUUUCUUUUUUUCUUUUUUUCAACUUGCUUGGCUUUGCUUAGUCUCUGAAGAACUCUCACCACCUCCCUUAUUCUAUGUCUUAUGAUAUUAUUUAUUUAUUUAUUUAUUUAUUUUUUACAUGGUCUUAUUUCUAGUUGUGAGCAAGUGUCUGGAAUUCUGUGAUCUGCCAGUCAGACUUUAUCUGAAGAUAAAAGUGCUUUGGUUUGGGGAUCCUGGGGCUGUGUGGGAAUAAAGAGAAGCCUAUUUGUCUCAGUGGUCUGGAUUUGCUUCCUGGAGUCUGCUAGAACCCGGACCCACUGUUGGGUGGGAAGGGUAGUCCUAGAAGACAUAGAAGAUGGGCUAGGGUGCAGAAUGGUAGGGAGGGUGCUGUGUGCCAGAAAAGACUGGCUCAGGACUCAGGGUGGAGUACUGGGGAGUGUGUGCACAGGGCCCUCUACCAUAGCUGUCUUGGCAGAGGGCAAUGGAAGAGCUGGGAGUGGAUGAGAUGCCAAACUCUGCAUUUUAUUUGUUAGAAGACUAAACAGUCGACUAAGUCCUUUUUGUUCAAGUCUGGAGCACAGAGUGAUCAAGCUGACUUUCCCCCAACAAGCUCUGCAUCUGACUCUUCUUUGCACAUUAUUCCCAAUGGCAAAGGGGGGAAAACCUAAGUAUCCAUCAGUGGAUGGACAGCUACAUACAGUGCUAUCUGUGCAAUGCAACACUCCUCAGCCGUGAGCAUGUUGGCGUUCUCAGUCACAUAAGACAGUCACAAAAAGAGGGUCACUCAAGGAGGAGUUAUGGCUUGCUGGCAGCAGGGAGACCCAGCUUCUGUGGACCGGAUCUCGAACAGCCGCACAAAAGCAUAUUAUUGAAUGCUACACAGAAGUUUUUUGGGUAAAACAAGUUCCUUAUAUCAAAGCCCCUAAUCUAAUCUGACUGGGAACUGCCAGGGCUUGAAUGAGGGUGGAUCUGAGUUACACUUAAUAGGUAUGGGCUUCCUUCCUUCCUUCCUUCCUUCCUUCCUUCCUUCCUUCCUUCCUUCCUUCCUUCCUUCCCUAUCUCUCUCCCCUCUCCCUCCCUUCUUUCUUUUUCCCAAGACAGGAUUUUUAUUUUAUUUUAUUUUAUUUUUUUUUGUGUGUGUGUAACAGAGCCCUGGCUGUCCUGGAGUUGGCUUUGUAGGCCAGGCUGACCUUGAAUUCAUAGAGAUCAUACCCAAUAGGUAUGGUGUUUCCUUUUGGGUUGUUGAAAGUGUUCCUAAAUAAGCUAACAGUGAUGGUUAUACGUUUAUGGUUUACUGACUGCGUAAACGCCACUGAGCUGUGUAUUUUAUGAUAGUAAAUAAAAGUUAUUUUUAGAUAACUUUGUUCAUGAGUAUAUUAUCUUUUGCUCAUUGUGGUGGCUAGUGUUGAUGGUCACCUUGCCAGGAUCUAGUAUCACCUGGGAGACACAUCUCUGGGAGUGCCUGUGAAGGGAUUGUCUUGACAAGGUUAAUUGACCCAUGGUAACUGUGGGCAGCAGCGCUCCACAGGCUGGGAUCCUAACGUAGACAAAAAGAGAAAGCAAACUGAGAACUAACUAGUACCGAGUCCUAGUACUCUGCUCUGCUUCCUAACGGCUCCUGCAGUAAGAUGGGUUACCCCCUGCUCUUGCCAUGGCUUCCCCACCUCGAUCCAACUGUAUCCUCUUACAUACACCGAGACAAACCCCUCCUUCCUUCAAUUGCUGCUUCUUAGUUAUUCGAUCACAGCAGUAUGGAAAGUAUCUAGUACAACCGUGCUAAUGCCCACAGCCUUCUCUGGUCCACGCCUGCUGCCCGCUCCUCCUAGCCCAGCCUUCUCUGUGUUUAUUGUGCCUCACUGAGUUGCAUCAGGGUUGCUUUCAGGGCCUUGAUGGAGGAUCGUUUACUGGAGCAUGGGCAGCUUAGCAGUGUCUACACUUGGAAGAAAAUAUAAGAUGGUAAAUACUACGUUAUUUUAUUACAGCAAUAAAAAAAAAACGAAUAAUCAUGAAACCUGAGUCCCCGCCCCUGUGAGAAGAGAUGGAUACUCAACAAAGGAAUAGAAAUUUAACUUAAGGUCUGGGGAGACAUAAAAUGUAGGGUAACAGUUGGAAUGGUAGGGAGGAUGCUGUUUUAUGGGGUGCUAAGAUUGCCUUUCUGAGUUGGAUAAGACUGAGAGGCACUGAGGCCACUGCACAAGAGAUGCAGCUGACUGAGGGACCAGGGACCACUGAGGGUGGAAGCAGAAGGUGGAGAGAAGGGGGCAAGUGCAGGGGUUGUGGGGACCCAAAGAAGCUGCACAUGGGCACAGCCACGUCUAGGACCCAGUGCCUCAGGUCCAUGGGAAUGGCAGAGCCUUCCCCGCACAGCCUUCCUUGCACAGAACAGGGCAGGAAUUGGCAAAGCCUUCUUCCGGUCUGAGUACACAGUGUUUAGGAAGGAUUGACCAGUGUGUAUUUGCAGCUUCCUCCUCCUUCAUGACUGCACCCAGACACUGCUUCCCUACAGAACCCUCCUAUGGGGACUGGCUAACUUCUCCCCGCUGUGCUACACAGCUGACGUUCCAGGUUGCUUCAUGGUACCGUGCUCAAUCACAGUGAACAGAAACCACCUGAUCCCAGCUUUUCCGCAAGGAAGUUUAAUGGAGGAGAGAAGAAGUUCUACCCUAAGUGUGGGCACCACCAUCCAGCGAACUGGGAUCCUGGACUGAAGAGAAGAAGACACUGAGUACCAGCGUCAUCUCUCUCUGCUUCCUGACUGCAGAAGCAAGUGUUAGGUUUAGCUUCUCGUGCAUAAUAGGAAAGUGGUUUACCACCGGGCUACAUUCCCAGCCCACAGACACCUGAAAUCUUGCAAUGAACUAGGAAGAUAAACCACUGGUGAGUCUGGAGCCUAGAGGUAUGUAUGAUUUGCUGUCUGCAACAGUGCACAGUGACAGCCUAUCUCCUCCCCGUGGUCCCUGAUGCUGCCGGGAACGGGAACAUUCCAUAGCUCCAGCAUCACUGCUCCAUAGAGGGCUGUAGGGAGCAGGCAGGCUGCUGUCCUCAUUCCUUAAGGAGAGUGUGUUCUGAGUGGGGGCAGCUUCCUGCACUGAGGGUGUUCUGUGGAUGUCAGUGGCUUUGGCACAGGGGCCGUGCUGAGGGAAGUGAACUACUCUUCCUGCUCGCUGGGAUCUUCAGGACCCCUCUGUACUUUCUGUGUCGGGUUUAGUGGAACUUAAAGUCGAGUGGGUAGAGUUCCCGAACGCUCCAUCUCACCUGAGAUCCAGCCCGCUCCUCCUAGAUGCCUUCCAGGCUUCCCACUUCAGAACCAUCCCGUCCUCACAACCGCACUAGCAUCGUGUAGAGCUGAGAGAAAGGGGAGAGAGAGAGAGAGAGAGAGAGAGAGAGAGAGAGAGAGAGCGCUUUAGUCCCUGUUACCUGGCUACUUCCUUUUCUCCUUUGUCACACAGGGAACAGGGACUGCAUUUGUAUCAUAGAACAUCCUCUGUACCUGGGAGCUGUAACAUAGUAGGUGCUCAACAAACCUUGUUGCAUCCCAGAUAGAUAAACAGAUCUGUUCUUCAUGGAGAGCAGCUAUGCAGCAGUCCCAGCACACCAUCAGGGUGUGGGAGAGGAAAGGAGAAGCUGUCCACUGAGUCUAGGGAAGGGCAGGGCUCAGGACGACUUCUGGAAGGAGGAGAUGCUGGAGCUGAGAACCCAAGAAUAGCUGGAGUCAUGCAGAUGGGAAGGAACAGGGCCCUGGAAGAAGGGUUGCUCUUGGUACUGACAAAAGCCACACUGGGUGUUACCGGACAGACAGACUGUUCUGGGAGCGGUGGUAGGAGGUAAAGGGGAGAGGCCCCGGGACAGGCAGCCAGACUCAUCGUUCUGCAGCUCAGCUCUGGCUCCCCUAACUUCUCCAGCUCUGCAGAAGGGGCCUGUUCUCGUGGAGGUCUCCCUGCAGAGCGUGCCUGAGCCUCCAUUCAGCAUCUUUCCCCCUCAUAGCUCUGCUCUUCCAGGUUCUGUUCUCUGCCUCUCCCAGGACCCCACUCUCACUUCCUGUUGCCUCAUCAUUGUUCUGCCUUCUGAAUUGGUCUUAUUUGUCUCCAGUUCAUCCCGCACAUGUCUGCCAGAUUCAUCUGACCCAGAGCCCAAACUCUGCUCCUGGAAGGUGGCCUCCCCUGUUCGAUAGUUUCCCACAACCCUCGGGUAUUGUCUCUGCUCAGCAUCCUGGGGUCUUAUCCCGUAUGUUCAACCUAACUGUUUGGACCACUUAGUCUAUGAUAUCUUUAUCCACACAGUCAGCAACGCUAGACUCUGUUCCUCUCCAAACACUCCUGAGUUCUGUUUUAGUUCAUGUCUCACAGCUCCAGAUCACUGUGGAGUCUCAUGUGUGCUUCAAGGCUGGGCUUAUACUUGGCUUUUUCUGAAGCAUUUACCGAUUCCCUCAGAUCUUUUUAGUCUAGCUCCUGCCUCAGUCACGGUAUGGCUCAACUUCCUGCUGAACUAUAUAUCCUGAGGACCACAUACAUAUGCUAUAGCCAGGGGAACCCGGACAGAUCUCUGUCAUAGCAACCACUACUCUUAGGCCCCUCUAAGAGAGACCUAGAUGAAGAACAGGGAAGAAAGCAGAGGUAACUUCAGUAGAAGCUAGGCAUGUUUCAGAAGCCCCAUGUAGAGAACUGAGUUCACCUGGGCUCAGCCUCAAGGUUUCAUUCUCCUCAAAUCUUUAUUGAUCUUGUGUGUGUCCUGGCCAGCUGUGUGUGAGGACAGUAGUGUGUGUCUGAGCCAAUACACACAGUGGCAUCUGCUGCACAAAUAGGACAGAGAGCCUGGUCAGCUCUGCCCUGGACUCCUUCUAUAGACAGCAUCUUUAGCCACAUGCAAAUACAGGUGAGCAAUAUGGGUCCUGUAAGCUGACCAGUCAACGUCAUCUCCCUCUUUGGUAUUAGAGGGGAGAAGAGGUGCUCAGAGAGGGAGAUGGAGUUCUGGGAGCUUCCUGCAUCACCUUUGACGUAUUCCAAGAUAGAAUAGGAGCAUCACGGAGAUGUCCCAGGCCCGGAAACCCCAACAGCAAGAGGAUAGAUCUCAGAGUGAUGUAAUUUGUCUGUCAGUAAUCCACAUGCUUAGUGGGCCAUCUCUGCUGUCUAAGCCUGGCCUCCGGGCACUCAGAUGUAUAUCCAGGCUCUGGUCCUCUCCAGAAAACCAUCACAGAAGAAAUAGAUUUCACACAGUAGCCUAGGAUUUGAUGGGGGGGGGGAAACAAAUCAGACAAAACUAUGGUGUAGAAGAGAUGCACAGACUGGGUUAGUGCGUGUGGACCACUGGGGAGAAGAUGGAAGAGUUGGGGACAGGGGACUCGCACAGGAUGGAAUAUCAGAGGGGCUUUUAGGAGAUAUGUUAAUGUAGGAAACUGUAGUCCCAGACAGCCAUCUCGCCUCAGUCCUCACUCCUAUGGUAGUUGUAGCCACUGUGGUAUGUAGACACACAGUCUUAGGGUUUUAUUGCUGUGAAGAGGCACCAUG